This 85-nucleotide transfer RNA is filed under the name Ruminococcus sp. YE282. Its description in RNAcentral is "tRNA_Leu_CAA". It matches the Rfam family "tRNA". From Rfam's summary of the family: Transfer RNA (tRNA) molecules are approximately 80 nucleotides in length. Their secondary structure includes four short double-helical elements and three loops (D, anti-codon, and T loops). Further hydrogen bonds mediate the characteristic L-shaped molecular structure. tRNAs have two regions of fundamental functional importance: the anti-codon, which is responsible for specific mRNA codon recognition, and the 3' end, to which the tRNAs corresponding amino acid is attached (by aminoacyl-tRNA synthetases). tRNAs cope with the degeneracy of the genetic code in two manners: having more than one tRNA (with a specific anti-codon) for a particular amino acid; and 'wobble' base-pairing, i.e. permitting non-standard base-pairing at the 3rd anti-codon position. Lineage: Bacteria; Bacillati; Bacillota; Clostridia; Eubacteriales; Oscillospiraceae. The record is from RNAcentral.
GCGAGCGUGACGGAACGGGUAGACGUUGCAGAUUCAAAAUCUGUUGCCGAAAGGCGUGUGGGUUCGAGUCCCACCGCUCGUACCA